RNAcentral lists this ribosomal RNA (1542 nucleotides) under Gallibacterium anatis str. Avicor. RNAcentral describes it as "bacterial LSU rRNA". It matches the Rfam family "Bacterial large subunit ribosomal RNA", at positions 1192 to 2716 of the family's 2925-position model. The record is from RNAcentral. Lineage: Bacteria; Pseudomonadati; Pseudomonadota; Gammaproteobacteria; Pasteurellales; Pasteurellaceae.
AAUCGAAGAGAGGAAUAUGUGUGAUACGUCUGUUGGGUAGGGGAGCGUUGUGUAAGCUGAAGAAGGUGGUUCGAGAGGGCUGCUGGAGGUAUCACAAGUGCGAAUGCUGACAUAAGUAACGAUAAAGCGGGUGAAAGGCCCGCUCGCCGGAAGACCAAGGUUUCCUGUCCAACGUUAAUCGGGGCAGGGUGAGUCGGCCCCUAAGGCGAGGCUGAGAAGCGUAGUCGAUGGGAAAUGGGUUAAUAUUCCCAUACUUGGAUAAACUGCGAUGUGGGGACGGAGCAGGUUAGGUUAGCGUACGGAUGGAAGAGUACGUUUAAGUUAGUAGGUGGGUGAGUUAGGCAAAUCCGGCUCACCAUUAACACUGAGAGAUGAUGACGAGGCUCUACGGAGCUGAAGUAACUGAUACCCAACUUCCAGGAAAAGCCACUAAGCUUCAGGUUUAUCUAAACCGUACUGGAAACCGACACAGGUGGUCAGGUAGAGAAUACUAAGGCGCUUGAGAGAACUCGGGUGAAGGAACUAGGCAAAAUAGCACCGUAACUUCGGGAGAAGGUGCGCUGGCGUAGUGUGAAGUUCUUCGCGAAUGGAGCAUGAACCAGUCGAAGCGACGAGCUGGCUGCAACUGUUUAAUAAAAACACAGCACUCUGCAAACACGAAAGUGGACGUAUAGGGUGUGAUGCCUGCCCGGUGCUGGAAGGUUAAUUGAUGGUGUUAUCGAAAGAGAAGCACCUGAUCGAAGCCCCAGUAAACGGCGGCCGUAACUAUAACGGUCCUAAGGUAGCGAAAUUCCUUGUCGGGUAAGUUCCGACCUGCACGAAUGGCAUAAUGAUGGCCAGGCUGUCUCCACCCGAGACUCAGUGAAAUUGAAAUCGCCGUGAAGAUGCGGUGUACCCGCGGCUAGACGGAAAGACCCCGUGAACCUUUACUAUAGCUUGACACUGAACCUUGAAUUUUAAUGUGUAGGAUAGGUGGGAGACUAAGAAGCGGUAACGCCAGUUAUCGUGGAGUCGGUGUUGAAAUACCACCCUUUAACGUUUGAUGUUCUAACGAGGCGCCUGGGACAGGUGUUCGGACAGUGUCUGGUGGGUAGUUUGACUGGGGCGGUCUCCUCCCAAAGCGUAACGGAGGAGCACGAAGGUUGGCUAAUGACGGUCGGACAUCGUCAGGUUAGUGCAAUGGUAGAAGCCAGCUUAACUGCGAGACGGACAAGUCGAGCAGGUACGAAAGUAGGUCAUAGUGAUCCGGUGGUUCUGAAUGGAAGGGCCAUCGCUCAACGGAUAAAAGGUACUCCGGGGAUAACAGGCUGAUACCGCCCAAGAGUUCAUAUCGACGGCGGUGUUUGGCACCUCGAUGUCGGCUCAUCACAUCCUGGGGCUGAAGUAGGUCCCAAGGGUAUGGCUGUUCGCCAUUUAAAGUGGUACGCGAGCUGGGUUUAGAACGUCGUGAGACAGUUCGGUCCCUAUCUGCCGUGGGCGUUGGAGGAUUGAGGGGGGUUGCUCCUAGUACGAGAGGACCGGAGUGAACGCACCGCUGGUGUU